RNAcentral lists this long non-coding RNA (680 nucleotides) under Coffea arabica (coffee). Its description in RNAcentral is "long non-coding RNA (CARA_LNC003297)". The record is from RNAcentral. Lineage: Eukaryota; Viridiplantae; Streptophyta; Magnoliopsida; Gentianales; Rubiaceae.
UUCAAAAUACAUCCGUUAUCCAAUUCUUACGUCAGGAUCCAAAAGAUACAUCAAUUCCCAAAUAUAUACAAUAGCCAAAAUGUCUAGUCAAUUACAAUUGAAACCCUAAUACAAAAGUACAUCCAAAGGGUUCCAACGAGUUUUACUCCAUCCAUUCCUGUUAAGGAAAACAAAUCUACGGGGUGAGCGAAACGCUCGUGAGACCAAGAAAACACACAUGCAAGCACGUUGUCCAAAUAACAAUCCCAAUAUUCAAGUAAUUUACAAUUCGAGCGAGAAAAAUAAACAGAAACAAUUCAAGGAUAUAGGAGCUCUCAGGAGCUAUUUUCCUCUUGCUUCGCCACGGCUCGAUCCGAUAUCCCCUCGUGAUGACACUCCGUUAUCCUGGUGGGUAUUUUAUCCGUAGAAACUUCACUUAUUACUUCUUCCGACCAACAUUCCACCCUCUCGGAUCCGAAACCAAACACGCACGAAAAAGGCGAUACUCGUCGAGUAUGCCACACGAGAUCUCAAGAGAUCAAGUUUUGAUUUUUGAACACGCACGGAAAGGGCGAUACUCCACGAGUAUGCCGAACAAGAUCUCAAAAGAUCAAGUUGUGUUUUGUUACUCUCUUGGUUUAUCAAACUUCUCGACCAAGCCCAUGCCGGCUCGAGUUGUAAGAUUGGUUAAGAGAAUUGGG